UUCCAUCUGCUUGUUUUACCCACAGGUGCAGCUGCUGCCUUAUCAUUAGCAGAAAUGCUAAGGAAGAAGGAGUGAUGUGUGUGUUUAUAAUAUUUUUAAAGUGUCAAACACCUUAAUUUUCAGGUUGGCACUCCCUCCUAAAAUUAGAAGAAUGAUACAGAAAUGGCAGUUUCAUCAGGCUAGAAAUUCUGUAUUCACAUUUCUCCUAAGGUACACCUAGAUUCCUAAAGUUUGACAUCAUUUUUUUGUGGAUCACAGUGUGGAACAAGGAUGCUGAUUGCCAUGGAGAUGUCAACCACAGGACUGGUUCUCUUAAGAAUUGUGGAAACACAAAUAAAAAGUUACUGCCACUUCAGUCUUCAGGUGACUUAGCAUCACCUGGAAUCCAACACCUGAAAAUGCAUCUAUCCUGCAUCAUCAUUAUAGAGUUUGCUCAACAACUCUUUUCUUCUCACAUGUAAUCUGACAAAAUCCUGCAAAGUUGUCCAAAUAAAC
RNAcentral lists this long non-coding RNA (495 nucleotides) under Cyanistes caeruleus (blue tit). RNAcentral describes it as "lncRNA (ENSCCEG00000001990.1)". Lineage: Eukaryota; Metazoa; Chordata; Aves; Passeriformes; Paridae. The record is from RNAcentral.